This 1238-nucleotide long non-coding RNA is filed under the name Pan troglodytes (chimpanzee). RNAcentral's name for it is "lncRNA (ENSPTRG00000054120.1)". The record is from RNAcentral. Lineage: Eukaryota; Metazoa; Chordata; Mammalia; Primates; Hominidae.
AAAUAAAAUCUCUACACAUGACCUAUAAGUGUGUAUUCCCAUGAAUGAUUUCUAAGAAAUGGCACUGUACACUGAACGCAGUGGCUCACGUCUGUCAUCCCAGCACUUUGGCAGGCCGAGGUGGGUGGUUCACGAGGUCAGGAGUUCAAGACCAGCCUAGUCAUCAUGGUGAAACCCCGUCUCUACUGAAAAUAUGAAACCGAGUCGGGCGCAGUGGGGCAGGCACCUGUAAUCCCAGCUACUCGGGAGGUUGAGGCGGGAGAAUCGCUUGAACCUCGCAGGCGGAGGUUUCAGUGACCCAGGAUGGCGCCACUGCACUACAGCCUGGGCGACAGAGUGAGACUUGGUCUCCAAAUAAAUAAAUAAAUAAAUGAAAGAAAGAAAAGAAAAGAAAAGAAAAGAAAAGAAAAGAAAAGAAAAGAAAAGAAAACCAGAAAAGAAAGAAAAUGAAAGAAAAGUCACUGUAUCGCUACUGGGCUAGGACCUUCUCUCUGUCUGUUUCUCUUUGUCUCUCUCUGUCCGUCUCUGUCUUUCUCUAUCUGUCUCUUUCUCUGUCUGUCUGUCUGUCUCUUUCUUUCUCUCUGUCUCUGUCUCUCUCUCUCUCUCUCUCUGUGUCUGUCUUCUGUCUUACUGUCUUUCUCUGCCUGUCUGUCUCUCUCUCUCUCUCUCUCCUUGUCUGUUUCUCUCUCUCUCUGUCUCUGUUUCUCUCUGUCUCCCUCUGUCUGUCUCUGUCUUUCUCUCUCUGUCUCUCUCUGUCUAUCUCUCUCUUUCUUUCUCUCUGUCUGUCCAUCUGUCUCUGUUUGUGUGUGUGUGUCUGCCUUCUGUCUUACUCUCUUUCUCUGACUGUCUGCCUGUCUGUCUGUCUCUCUCUGUCUCUCUCUCUUUCUGUCUCUGUCUCUUUCUGUUUCUCUCUGUCUCUGUCCAUCUCUGUUUUUCUCUGUCUGUGUCUUUAUCUGUCUGUCUCUCUCUCUCUUUCUGUCUUUCUCUCUUUGUGUAUCUUUGUGUCUCUCUGUCUGUCUCUCUCUGUCUCUGUCAUUGUCUCUCUCUCUCUGUCUUUCUCUCUUUGUGUAUCUUUGUGUCUCUCUGUCUGUCUCUCUCUGUCUCUGUCAUUCUCUCUCUCUCUCUCUCUCUCUCUCUCUCUCUCUCUCUCUCUCUCUCUCUCGCCGGCUCUCUGGCUCUCGCUAUCUCCUGCCCUCUCUUUCUUUGCAAAAUAAGUUCAAGUACAUCUAAUCUAAUCC